RNAcentral lists this ribosomal RNA (891 nucleotides) under uncultured bacterium. Its description in RNAcentral is "bacterial SSU rRNA". It matches the Rfam family "Bacterial small subunit ribosomal RNA", at positions 33 to 895 of the family's 1533-position model. The record is from RNAcentral.
CUGCUGUGCAGGAGUCUUAACACAUGCAGUCGGAGAGAAAGCCUGAAGCUUGCUUUGGGCGAGUAAAGUGGCGCACGGGUGAGUAACGCGUGGGUAAUCUACCUCCGAAUUUGGGAUAACACUUCGAAAGGGGUGCUAAUACCGGAUGAUAUCCAUUGGGCUUUGGUUUGAUGGAUCAAAGAUAGCCGCUUCAUGAAAGCUAUUGUUUGGAGAUGAGCCCGCGUCCCAUUAGCUGGUUGGUAGGGUAACGGCCUACCAAGGCGACGAUGGGUAGCUGGUCUGAGAGGAUGAUCAGCCACACUGGAACUGGAACACGGUCCAGACUCCUACGGGAGGCAGCAGUGAGGAAUUUUGCGCAAUGGGGGCAACCCUGACGCAGCAACGCCGCGUGAGUGAUGAAGGCCUUCGGGUCGUAAAGCUCUGUCAAGUGGGAAGAACCUGUUUAUUGUUAACAGCGAUAGACACUGACGGUACCACUGAAGGAAGCACCGGCUAACUCCGUGCCAGCAGCCGCGGUAAUACGGAGGGUGCAAGCGUUAUUCGGAUUUACUGGGCGUAAAGGGCGCGUAGGCGGUUGGACAAGUCAGGUGUGAAAUCCCGGGGCUUAACUCCGGAAGUGCAUCUGAAACUGUUCGGCUUGAGUAUGGUAGAGGGAAGUGGAAUUCCUGGUGUAGCGAUGAAAUGCGUAGAUAUCAGGAGGAACACCGGUGGCGAAGGCGACUUCCUGAACCAAAACUGACGCUGAGGCGCGAAGGUGUGGGGAGCAAACAGGAUUAGAUACCCUGGUAGUCCACACAGUAAACGGUGAUCACUAGGUGUUGCGGGUGUUGACCCCUGCAGUGCCGCAGUUAACGCAUUAAGUGAUCCGCCUGGGGAGUACGGUCGCAGAUU